CUACUCUUGACAUCCAGAGAAUUUGCUAGAGAUAGCUUAGUGCCUUCGGGAACUCUGAGACAGGUGCUGCAUGGCUGUCGUCAGCUCGUGUUGUGAAAUGUUGGGUUAAGUCCCGCAACGAGCGCAACCCUUAUCCUUUGUUGCCAGCGAUUCGGUCGGGAACUCAAAGGAGACUGCCGGUGAUAAACCGGAGGAAGGUGGGGAUGACGUCAAGUCAUCAUGGCCCUUACGAGUAGGGCUACACACGUGCUACAAUGGCGUAUACAAAGAGAAGCGACCUCGCGAGAGUAAGCGGACCUCAUAAAGUACGUCGUAGUCCGGAUUGGAGUCUGCAACUCGACUCCAUGAAGUCGGAAUCGCUAGUAAUCGUAGAUCAGAAUGCUACGGUGAAUA
Molecule: ribosomal RNA, 393 nt
Filed under: Pectobacterium carotovorum subsp. carotovorum
Lineage: Bacteria; Pseudomonadati; Pseudomonadota; Gammaproteobacteria; Enterobacterales; Pectobacteriaceae
Description: bacterial SSU rRNA
Rfam family: Bacterial small subunit ribosomal RNA
Source: RNAcentral